GACAGAGGGUGCAAACGUUGUUCGGAAUUACUGGGUUUAAAGGGUGCGUAGGAGGGCAGGUAAGUCAGUGGUGAAAUCCCCGAGCUUAACUUGGGAACUGCCGUUGAUACUAUCUGUCUUGAAUAUUGUGGAGGUGAGCGGAAUAUGUCAUGUAGCGGUGAAAUGCUUAGAUAUGACAUAGAACACCAAUUGCGAAGGCAGCUCGCUACACAUAUAUUGACUCUGAGGCACGAAAGCGUGGGGAUCAAACAGG
RNAcentral lists this ribosomal RNA (253 nucleotides) under uncultured bacterium. RNAcentral describes it as "partial 16S ribosomal RNA". It matches the Rfam family "Bacterial small subunit ribosomal RNA", at positions 524 to 776 of the family's 1533-position model. The record is from RNAcentral.